This is a long non-coding RNA of Anopheles gambiae (African malaria mosquito), 686 nucleotides long. RefSeq lists it as uncharacterized. The transcript is spliced from 3 exons. Lineage: Eukaryota; Metazoa; Arthropoda; Insecta; Diptera; Culicidae. The record is from RefSeq and is a predicted model, not a curated record.
GUGCGCAUGAGCAGCGGUCAGUACUUCUGAAUAGAAGUAGUUGAUUGGAUCAAAGUGUGGACUGAGCAGUGCAGUUGCUGAUUUUGAGGAUUCUCAAGUGUUUUCAAUACAGUUCUGCAAAGUCCGUCGUAUGCCAGAGUCUAUGAAUAUUAUGCGGCAGCGUUUAUUCAAUAGCAACACGCUCCGAUAUUUCUAUUUAUACGCAUAACAGCGCAUUCUAUCAUCAAAAUGGCUGUAUAUUGAGUCAAUGUUAUUUUGUAGGUAUGGUUUGGCAAUGAGUUCGAAAGUGUUAAGCAAAGCAAUAAAGAAACAAUACAAUUGAAUGCUAACGUUCCCACAACAAGUCCAUACUAGGCUACUGUAUUCUGCAAACAUGAGGUUAUUUGGAUUCCUUUUUGGAGGUGUAGGAGGAAAAGCAAUGGCAGUGCCUCGUAUCGUAGCAUUACUUGGCCCGCAAGCCUCUGUUCAAAUAGCCAUAGUAGGAACUGUGUUAGCGUAUUACGCUGUAAAAGCUGUCGUUUCUACAAUAAGGACACGACCAAAUAUUUCCUUAUCUGGUCCGAAACAAACAUUAUUCAUUCGAUCAAAUAGUGGACAUAAUCAAACCAAUCGUGAUAUUAAGAAAAACGAUGGAAAUAAACCAGUAAACUCCAACGCACAAACCAACACUAACACACGAUCAGAAC